CGGCCAUCAAUCACGCAUGAGCAAUUGGAAUAAAAGAACAAGCACAAAUCAUCAACAGUUUAUCUGGCAUACAACAUCUUAAAUGACGUGUGUUUCACUGGUUAAAGAAAUUCUAGAUAACAUAUAGUUCACAUGCUGGUAGCUCUCAACUCAAUUCACGAGCUAGUUUAAUGAAAAUUAUAACUGAUAGCCAGUAGCACAUCUCUCAGGAAGCUAAGCAUGCAUGAGUUGGGAACCACUAGGGACAAACAAGAUUCAAAAACCCACCCCAUAAAAAUCAAUCCACCCAAUCCAUUUAAGAUUCAAUAUAAAACCAAAACAUCCUUUAUUUUGUCAAAGAAGUUAUUGAUGUCAGGAAUUGGAUUAUGCAUUGAUUUCUUCAAAAAUUAUAUCUUGCUGGGUGCUGAGGAACAUGAGACUUGUUUUCUG
Molecule: unclassified non-coding RNA, 429 nt
Filed under: Hevea brasiliensis (rubber tree)
Lineage: Eukaryota; Viridiplantae; Streptophyta; Magnoliopsida; Malpighiales; Euphorbiaceae
Source: RNAcentral